RNAcentral lists this transfer RNA (69 nucleotides) under Urocitellus parryii (Arctic ground squirrel). RNAcentral describes it as "Spermophilus parryii (Arctic ground squirrel) tRNA". It matches the Rfam family "tRNA". Rfam says of the family: Transfer RNA (tRNA) molecules are approximately 80 nucleotides in length. Their secondary structure includes four short double-helical elements and three loops (D, anti-codon, and T loops). The record is from Rfam by way of RNAcentral. Lineage: Eukaryota; Metazoa; Chordata; Mammalia; Rodentia; Sciuridae. RNAcentral also lists the same sequence under 1 other name.
GGGGUUGUGGCUAAGAGGUAGAGCACUUGCCUAGUAUGCAUGAAGCUCUGGGUUCGAUCCUCAGCACCA